This 1195-nucleotide long non-coding RNA is filed under the name Marmota monax (woodchuck). Lineage: Eukaryota; Metazoa; Chordata; Mammalia; Rodentia; Sciuridae. The record is from RNAcentral.
CUGUUGAUCACCUACAGCAUCAGGGUACAUGAUAAGUUCUCAGUGAACACUUGCUGAACUAGACUGGAUUUAUAGAGUCAGAAGGGACCUUGAAGCUCAUCAAGUUCCUUGCUACUUAAAAUGUGGUCUCUGGGCUGGGGAUACAGCUCAGUAGAAUGCUUGGGUUCAAUCCCAGCACCACAAACACACACACACACACACACACAAGAUGUGGUCUCUGCAUCAGCAGCAUUAGUAGCAUCACCUGGGAACUUGUUAGAAAUGCAGAAUCUCAGGCUCCUUCUCAGACAGAAUCCACAUCUUCACCAGCUCCCCCAGUAAUUUGUAUGCUCUUUGAGGAGCAGUGAUCGAGAACAGCGUCUCCCACCUGGCUCCUGCCUGCAUCAUGUGGCAUUGUCAUCACCUAGAAUCACAGAAAACACGGGCCCACCCACGUCAUCCAGCCGCAUCUACAGGAAGACCUCCAUCCUCUGUGGCAGCAGCCCGUUCCACCACGGCAACUCUUCAGCCAUCAGACUGAGUGAAGUCAUGACGUCACGUUCAAAUAAUCUUUCAAGUGGGACUUUGUACUUGGCCUGCGCUCCGUCGAAGCUUAUUGGGGGACAGGUUUAAACGCCUACUGUGGUUUCCCUGUGUGAACCCCAUGAUGAUUAAUUUUAUGUGUCAACUGGACCAGGAGGCGAAGUGCUCAAACACGUGUCAACGGUUGUCCUGGGUGGGUCUGGGCGGGCAUUUCUAGAUGAGGUUGACAUUUGUAUCAGAAGGCUGACCAGAGUGACUGGGCUCAGAGGUAGCUCACUGUAGAGGGUGAGUCCCUGGGUUCCAUCCCAGCACCACUGGAGAAGGAGAGAAGGAGAAGGGGAGGGGGAGGGGGAGGGGAGAGAAACAGGAGACUGAAUGAAACAGGUUGUUCUUCCUAAUGUUGAGUGGACCUCGUCCAGCCAUUUGAAGACCUGAAUAAAAUGAAAAGGCUGGGUAAGAGGGAAUUUUUCCUGCCCAAAUACUUCAGCUGGGACCUCUGCUUUCUGCUUUUGGACUCCAACUGAGACUUUUGGCUCUUCUGGAACCUCAAGCCUUCUACUUUUGGACUGACCCCCGCCCUGGUUCUCAGGCCCUUGGACUCAGACUAGAGCUCGUUCAUUGCUUUCCUGGGUCUACAGCUUGCUGACUACAGAUUUUGAAAAUUCUCUGCCUC